RNAcentral lists this ribosomal RNA (284 nucleotides) under uncultured prokaryote. Its description in RNAcentral is "partial 16S ribosomal RNA". It matches the Rfam family "Bacterial small subunit ribosomal RNA", at positions 524 to 817 of the family's 1533-position model. The record is from RNAcentral.
UACGUAGGGGCCGAGCGUUGUCCGGAGUUACUGGGCGUAAAGCGUGCGCAGGCGGCGCGUUCUGCCCGGCGUGAAAGCCCCCGGCUCAACCGGGGAGGGUCGUCGGGGACGGGCGCGCUUGAGGGUAUCAGGGGCUGGUGGAAUUCCCGGUGUAGUGGUGAAAUGCGUAGAGAUCGGGAGGAACACCUGUGGCGAAGGCGGCCAGCUGGGAUACACCUGACGCUGAGGCACGAAGGCGUGGGGAGCGAACGGGAUUAGAUACCCGCGUAGUCCCUGAGCGGGCU